This 282-nucleotide ribosomal RNA is filed under the name uncultured prokaryote. RNAcentral's name for it is "partial 16S ribosomal RNA". It matches the Rfam family "Bacterial small subunit ribosomal RNA", at positions 524 to 805 of the family's 1533-position model. The record is from RNAcentral.
UACGUAGGGGCUAGCGUUAUCCGGAAUUACUGGGCGUAAAGGGUGCGUAGGUGGUUUCUUAAGUCAGAGGUGAAAGGCUACGGCUCAACCGUAGUAAGCCUUUGAAACUGGGAAACUUGAGGGCAGGAGAGGAGAGUGGAAUUCCUAGUGUAGCGGUGAAAUGCGUAGAUAUUAGGAGGAACACCAGUAGCGAAGGCGACUUCCUGGCACAAUACUGACGCUCAUGUGCGAAAGCUACGGUAGCGAACGGGAUUAGAUACCCGGGUAGUCCCUGAGCGGGCU